Haliaeetus leucocephalus (bald eagle) is the source of this 646-nucleotide long non-coding RNA. RefSeq lists it as uncharacterized. Lineage: Eukaryota; Metazoa; Chordata; Aves; Accipitriformes; Accipitridae. The transcript has 4 exons. The record is from RefSeq and is a predicted model, not a curated record.
CAACAGGCAGACAGGUUCACCUGCGUCUGCUACAGCUUCUCUCUUGUUGCAGAGCAGCCUCUGGGCCCAUGGCAUGGGACUGUGAUUUGGGUGGUUGUGCUGUUGGCACUCUUCCUCGUAUCUGCAGGGAUCCUGUGGUUUGUGCUUUGCAGGAAAAGGAAGUCUUUGCCCAGCAAAGCUAAGGAGGAUAAUUAAAAAGGUAAAGGUGGCCAGGCUGGAGAUCAGUCACUCCAGCCCCUUCCCAGGACCACAGGAGACAUUCAGAGCAGUGAGGGAGCAGAGAAGGUUGGGAGGAUGACCCCAGCUCAGUGCUGAUGGCUGCCAGGCCCCCUAGCUCACCUGUGACUAUGACCAGCACUGGCAGUCCCAUCCAGUUCAGCAGAGCAAGAGGAAAACAGGAGGCCAAGGAGGGUUGUGAGUUCUUUCUUUCCUCACUCCCUUCACCUCCCAGCUUUCACUUACUGCUGUUUUAAGGCCUUUGAAUGCAACUUUCUGUAGUUCUUUUUUUAGGCUUUGUUUUCAUUUUUGCUUUCCUGGAAGCAGGAAUUGUAUGCCAGAUUUCACAGUCCCUGACUCACAUGGGCUCAGGCUGAGCGAUGGUCCAUGCUCCUGCCAUGUCCUGUGCUCCCAACCCCCCUCCCCGCUC